RNAcentral lists this ribosomal RNA (460 nucleotides) under uncultured bacterium. RNAcentral's name for it is "partial 16S ribosomal RNA". It matches the Rfam family "Bacterial small subunit ribosomal RNA", at positions 338 to 795 of the family's 1533-position model. The record is from RNAcentral.
CCUACGGGUGGCUGCAGUGAGGAAUAUUGGUCAAUGGACGAGAGUCUGAACCAGCCAAGUAGCGUGAAGGAUGACUGCCCUAUGGGUUGUAAACUUCUUUUAUAUGGGAAUAAAAUGUUCCACGUGUGGGAUUUUGUAUGUACCAUAUGAAUAAGGAUCGGCUAACUCCGUGCCAGCAGCCGCGGUAAUACGGAGGAUCCGAGCGUUAUCCGGAUUUAUUGGGUUUAAAGGGAGCUUAGGUGGAUUGUUAAGUCAGUUGUGAAAGUUUGCGGCUCAACCGUAAAAUUGCAGUUGAAACUGGCAGUCUUGAGUACAGUAGAGGUGGGCGGAAUUCGUGGUGUAGCGGUGAAAUGCUUAGAUAUCACGAAGAACUCCGAUUGCGAAGGCAGUUCACUGGACUGUAACUGACACUGAGGCUCGAAAGUGUGGGUAUCAAACAGGAUUAGAUACCCGUGUAGUC